CAGGCGCUCGGGCCGCAAGGGAGCAGGGAGCCCUGCCAGCUGGGCCGCCCGAGGGGCGUUGCGGGGCUCCGGGCGGGGCCGACCCGGGGGGCUGCGCCGGGCCCCACCAGCCUUGCGCCUUUUUCGCUCGGUCUCCUUGGCCUCCCGCUCCUGCGACGCCGCUUUCCUUUUCUCUUGCUCCCGAGCUCGGACCUCGGCCAGGGGCCCCGCCCGCCAGUUGGUCGCCUCCUGCAGCACCCUGGAGGCCCAGGGCCGGCGGGGCGGCGGCUGUGGGGAUCCCGGGCGCGGCCCACACCUGGGACAAUGAGCAGGAACCCAGGGUUUCAUGAUGUUGCCCAGGCUGAUGCUGAACUCCUGAGCUCAAGCAAUUCACUUGCCUUGGCCUCCCAAAGUACUGGCAUUACAAGCGUGAGCCACCACACCUGGCUGAGUUUUUUUUUCCUCUUUUUAACUUCUACCCCAGAGCCUAAUCCAGUACCUAAAGUGUGAAGGCUAAAUUAGAAAAUCUAUAUAAAAAUGCUUGUAAACCAUAAUACAUUUACAAGUAAGUAGAAUAUGACAUGUUAUUUUAAAUUUAAUGGAAUUAGACUCCUUAUUUUUGUUUAAGAUUAUCCUGAUUAGUCAGAAUUGGCUCCCUUGCCUGGGAGACCAACUGCGAAUCGUUUUAGUACUUUGGUCGGUUUUCUUUUUGAAAACCUGAAAGAAACAACCUGUCUGUGAGCAGAGAAACGGUGUGGCAAAGAAUUACUCUGGGCAUGUAAUCCAAAGCAAAGUGAACCUGCAGUCCUUUCGUAACUACAGUAGCAGAUGAUAAAAACCAAGAUGGAAAGAGUUACUCUGCCUGAAAGAAGACACAUGGUUAAAAACUGUGGAGAGGGAAGUGUAUGGGAGGGGUUACAGAGCGCUAGAAAAAGAUUCCUGAGAGUGAGGGUGGGUGCAAACGUGUAGCAGGCAACCCGCAGCAUCUGUGGGAGGGUGACAGGGCCCUGCCACAAUUGGUCAAUGCCUGCUCGCCAAGAAUGAGCUAUGCCAAAACCCCUGCUUAGAGUCGCAGAGCUGGCCAUGACCUAAAAUUGUCCAGGGACACAUCGGCCUCUAACACUGCAAGAUUUCCUCUUUCAAGCAAACCUCAAUUCUCGGUCUUAUUAAGGGAAUGUGACUUCACUGGACGCAGUAUAAAGAUCUUCAGAUGUCCUCCUGCCGGGGACUGCAGGGAUCACAGAAAGACCACCGAGGUCCAGGAGCUACCUGCAAGCGGAGAUCCCUCUGGACGCCCCCUGCCUCACCCAGCAAAGCCGGAUCACAACCCUGCGCUCUCAAACCUCUAAAAGGGCUUGAGGUGCUAAGAGGAAAGGAGGCCCGAGAUUGCCACGGCAUACGUGGGCUCCAAGGAGGGAGCCAGGAGUCACCGCCUGCUUGGGCUAAGGGUACCGCGUACGGAACGGCGGCGGGGGCGCGGCCCAGUUCUAGGAGAUGCGCCCAACGAAGAAGCGGAGGGACAGGGUCACGGGAUAGGGCAGACACCCGGCUGCUUUUUGUUUGCUAGACACCAGCGCCAGCCCCUGCCCGGCCCUCCCGGUCUCCUAAGGGGGGGGGGGUCUUAGGCUCCACAGCGCCCCCGACCGCCCUCCUGCACUCCUCACCGUCUCCAUUGCAAGAGGCGCCAGCUUGGUUUCCUCGCUUUAGGAAACUCUCUUGGGGCAGGCCCCGCCCCACAUCCGGUGCGGCGACGCCACUUCCGCCCACGUCAUGGCAGUCGCCAGACUGGGGCGGAAGGCAAGGAACCCACCCUUCCGGCGGUGGCGGGCCUCGGUAACCGCCCUCCCCCGCGUCCUCACGGGCCGCACGGAUCCGGCUGACGGCGAGGGUCACGGGACGGAGCCGCUUGUAUUUAAAAUGUUCUUUUUUUAUUUGUCGUUUAAAAACAAACUUGGAAGAAGCAAAAUCCAAAACUUGCCCUUUGCCUCUCGCAACAUAAAUUAUGUACAGUUCAGAAUGAUCGCUGAUACAAAACAUGCCAAGGACAGGGGCGCUGAGGGUGGAGGGAGAGAGGGCGCUUUAAAAAAGGGAACCAUUUCAUCCGUUGUUACGAAGGACCAACCUUGCUGU
Molecule: non-coding RNA, 2109 nt
Filed under: Pongo abelii (Sumatran orangutan)
Lineage: Eukaryota; Metazoa; Chordata; Mammalia; Primates; Hominidae
Source: RNAcentral